Callorhinus ursinus (northern fur seal) is the source of this 301-nucleotide long non-coding RNA. RefSeq lists it as uncharacterized. NCBI's taxonomy places the organism in Eukaryota, Metazoa, Chordata, Mammalia, Carnivora, Otariidae. The record is from RefSeq and is a predicted model, not a curated record.
ACAGCUUCCUCAAAAGCAUGUGCUGAUCAGUACUCAGCUGGAGGCCUAAAGAAACUCUGAGAAGCUCCAAUGUGCCAUACAAACUCCAGUUACACUGACUUUCCAGACUUCCCGUUCCAUCUUCUCAGUUCAAGAAGACUGCCAAACUCUGGGUUCCCUCUGCUUGGGCAGCAGUCUCUCAGGACGUAUCAUGGCUUCAAGAAACAGAAUUAAGAGCAACGAUUAGAAAUUAUAGUGAUAUUGUAGGCUCAUCAGGAAAGAAGGAGCAAAAAAAUGGCAUUUUAUCCUACUUUCUCAAGAG